Molecule: long non-coding RNA, 837 nt
Organism: Cryptomeria japonica (Japanese cedar)
Lineage: Eukaryota; Viridiplantae; Streptophyta; Pinopsida; Cupressales; Cupressaceae
Exons: 4
Source: RefSeq, a predicted model, not a curated record
CAUAGGCUUUUGUAUAGAUUGUAAAUGCAAUAAUUAAGGUAGCAGCUGGCAGUUUAAUGUUAGGACAUAGAUUGUAAAUGCAAUAAUAAUUAAGGGAGCAGCUGGUAGUUUAAUGUUACGGCAUUUGGUGGUGUACAUGCCUUGAUCUUGCUGCUUCUACAUACUUCUUGCAUUGGGCUUAGGCUUUUUGUUGGUAUACUUCUACAAUUUGCUAUCAGCCACAUAGAGUUUGCUAUCAGAUAUUCACUGUGAUGCUUUACGGGACUCGGUAGGCUAAAGGCAAUAAGGUGUUAUCAUUGCUAUUCCCAGCUUUCAAUUGGUAGAAAGGCUCUGCUGAAGUUUGGUAAAAUUUGUUGUGUCAAUUCUAGCGUGGUAGCAUUUUGUGUCUUUGGAAGUGCACCUGCGAAACAAGGAAGUGCCAAGAUUACAGUAGAGGUUGCUUUGCAUUUCUGGUGUAUAAAAGCACCAUGCCAUUUUCAAGAAGAUUUUGGUUCACUUCACAAUACUCCUCAAGUUUUGCAGGUUCCCAAAUGAGAAAUUAAAAACAAUCAAAAGCUCCUUGCUUCAACUAGUGGACAGUUCAAAAUACUAUUCACAUACCUUUAAUAUUCAAAGCAACACUUAUCUUAUUUUGUUUUGUAAAUAACUAGUUAAUUAUCUUUCGCUACAAACAUUCGAUAAUAUGCUUAGUUUUUGUAAAUAUAAAUCUUAUGCACUGUCUAGUUGCAUACAUAAUAGACAUAGUAAUAGAUACCAUACUUUUCAAACUGCCAUUUUAUACUAUUUUUGAAGACGAGUUCUUAGAACACUACAACACGUUAUCUUUUUUGCAUUCAA